This 386-nucleotide ribosomal RNA is filed under the name uncultured prokaryote. RNAcentral's name for it is "bacterial SSU rRNA". It matches the Rfam family "Archaeal small subunit ribosomal RNA", at positions 339 to 725 of the family's 1478-position model. The record is from RNAcentral.
GCGCGAAAACUUUACAAUGCUGGCAACAGCGAUAAGGGAACCUCGAGUGCCAGGUUACAAAUCUGGCUGUCGAGAUGCCUAAAAAGCAUUUCAUAGCAAGGGCCGGGCAAGACCGGUGCCAGCCGCCGCGGUAACACCGGCGGCUCGAGUGGUAACCGUUAUUAUUGGGUCUAAAGGGUCUGUAGCCGGCCGGAUAAGUCUCUUGAGAAAUCUGGCAGCUUAACUGUCAGGCUUUCAGGAGAUACUGUCUGGCUCAAGGCCGGGAGAGGUGAGAGGUACUUCAGGGGUAGGGGUGAAAUCUUGUAAUCCUUGAAGGACCACCAGUGGCGAAGGUGUCUCACCAGAACGGACCUGACGGCAAGGGACGAAAGCUAGGGGCACGAACC